This 125-nucleotide small RNA is filed under the name Marmota monax (woodchuck). Lineage: Eukaryota; Metazoa; Chordata; Mammalia; Rodentia; Sciuridae. The record is from RNAcentral.
GCCGGGCGUGGUGGCUCACGCCUGUGAUCCCAGCGGCUCAGGAGGCUGGGACAGGAGGAUAGAGAGUUCAGAUCAACUUAAGCAAAAAGCAAGGCCUUCAGCAACUCAGCGAGACCCUGUCUCUA